RNAcentral lists this ribosomal RNA (399 nucleotides) under uncultured bacterium. RNAcentral's name for it is "bacterial SSU rRNA". It matches the Rfam family "Bacterial small subunit ribosomal RNA", at positions 356 to 773 of the family's 1533-position model. The record is from RNAcentral.
UUGGAAUAUUGCACAAUGGGGGAAACCCUGAUGCAGCGACGCCGCGUGAGGGAAGAAGGUUUUCGGAUUGUAAACCUCUGUCUUCGGGGACGAAAAUGACGGUACCCGAGGAGGAAGCCACGGCUAACUACGUGCCAGCAGCCGCGGUAAUACGUAGGUGGCAAGCGUUGUCCGGAAUUACUGGGUGUAAAGGGAGCGUAGGCGGGCCCGCAAGUUGAAUGUUAAAACGAUCGGCUCAACCGGUCGAUGCGUUCAAAACUAUGGGUCUUGAGUGAAGUAGAGGCAGGCGGAAUUCCCGGUGUAGCGGUGGAAUGCGUAGAUAUCGGGAGGAACACCAGUGGCGAAGGCGGCCUGCUGGGCUUUAACUGACGCUGAGGCUCGAAAGCAUGGGGAGCAAAC